Molecule: ribosomal RNA, 911 nt
Filed under: uncultured bacterium
Lineage: Bacteria
Description: bacterial SSU rRNA
Rfam family: Bacterial small subunit ribosomal RNA
Source: RNAcentral
AGAGUUUGAUCAUGGCUCAGGACGAACGCUGGCGGCGUGCUUAACACAUGCAAGUCGAGCGGUAAGGCCCCUUCGGGGGUACACGAGCGGCGAACGGGUGAGUAACACGUGAGUAACCUGCCCCUGACUCUGGGAUAAGCCUGGGAAACUGGGUCUAAUACCGGAUAUGACCUCGUGCCGCAUGGUGUGGGGUGGAAAGGUGUUUUUCCGGUCAGGGAUGGGCUCGCGGCCUAUCAGCUUGUUGGUGGGGUAACGGCCUACCAAGGCGAUGACGGGUAGCCGGCCUGAGAGGGCGACCGGCCACACUGGGACUGAGACACGGCCCAGACUCCUGCGGGAGGCAGCAGUGGGGAAUAUUGCGCAAUGGGCGGAAGCCUGACGCAGCGACGCCGCGUGGGGGAUGAAGGCCUUCGGGUUGUAAACCUCUUUUACCACUCACGAAGGCCCCUGGUUUUCUGGGGGUUGACGGUAGGUGGUGAAUAAGGACCGGCUAACUACGUGCCAGCAGCCGCGGUAAUACGUAGGGUCCGAGCGUUGUCCGGAAUUAUUGGGCGUAAAGAGCUCGUAGGCGGCCUGUCGCGUCUGCUGUGAAAGUCCGGGGCUUAACUCCGGGUGUGCAGUGGAUACGGGCAGGCUUGAGGUAGGUAGGGGAGACUGGAAUUCCUGGUGUAGCGGUGAAAUGCGCAGAUAUCAGGAGGAACACCGGUGGCGAAGGCGGGUCUCUGGGCCUUACCUGACGCUGAGGAGCGAAAGCGUGGGGAGCGAACAGGAUUAGAUACCCUGGUAGUCCACGCCGUAAACGUUGGGCGCUAGGUGUGGGGACUUUCCACGGUUUCCGUGCCGUAGCUAACGCAUUAAGCGCCCCGCCUGGGGAGUACGGCCGCAAGGCUAAAACUCAAAUGAAUUGACGG